Molecule: ribosomal RNA, 520 nt
Filed under: uncultured fungus
Lineage: Eukaryota; Fungi
Description: SSU rRNA
Rfam family: Eukaryotic small subunit ribosomal RNA
Source: RNAcentral
GUAGUCAUAUGCUUGUCUCAAAGAUUAAGCCAUGCAUGUCUAAGUAUAAGCAACUUGUACUGUGAAACUGCGAAUGGCUCAUUAAAUCAGUUAUCGUUUAUUUGAUAGUACCUUACUACAUGGAUACCUGUGGUAAUUCUAGAGCUAAUACAUGCUAAGAACCCCGACUUCAGGAAGGGGUGUAUUUAUUAGAUAAAAAACCAACGCCCUUCGGGGCUCCUUGGUGAAUCAUAAUAACUUAACGAAUCGCAUGGCCUUGCGCCGGCGAUGGUUCAUUCAAAUUUCUGCCCUAUCAACUUUCGAUGGUAGGAUAGUGGCCUACCAUGGUGGCAACGGGUAACGGGGAAUUAGGGUUCGAUUCCGGAGAGGGAGCCUGAGAAACGGCUACCACAUCCAAGGAAGGCAGCAGGCGCGCAAAUUACCCAAUCCCGAUACGGGGAGGUAGUGACAAUAAAUACUGAUACGGGGCUCUUUUGGGUCUCGUAAUUGGAAUGAGAACAAUUUAAAUCCCUUAACGAGG